CCUAAUCCCAGUGCUCCCAGUGCUCCCAGUGCUCCCAGUGCCCAAUCCCAGUCCCUCCCAGUGCUCCCAGUGCUCCCAGUGCUCCCAGUGCUCCCAGUGCUCCCAGUGCUCCCAGUGCCCAAUCCCAGUCACUCCCAGUGCUCCCAGUGCUCCCAGUGCUCCCAGUGCCCAAUCCCAGUGCUCCCAGUGCUCCCAGUGCUCCCAGUGCUCCCAGUCACUCCCAGUGCUCCCAGUGCUCCCAGUGCUCCCAGUGCCCAAUCCCAGUGCUCCCAGUGCUCCCAGUGCUCCCAGUGCCCAAUCCCAGUGCUCCCAGUGCUCCCAGUGCUCCCAGUGCCCAAUCCCAGUCACUCCCAGUGUGUCCCCAUGCUCCCAGUGCUCCCAGUGCUCCCAGUUACCGACGAUGCGCAGUCUGAUCUCGGCCGUGUCCUCCAUGCCCUCGAUGCGCACGCUGAUCCCAGUGCUCCCAGUGCUCCCAGUGCUCCCAGUGCUCCCAGUGCUCCCAGUGCUCCCAGUGCUCCCAGUUACCAAUCCCAGUGCUCCCAGUAACCAAUCCCAGUGCUCCCAGUGCUCCCAGUUACCAACCCCAGUGCUCCCAGUGCUCCCAGUGCCCAAUCCCAGUGCUCCCAGUGCUCCCAGUGCUCCCAGUGCUCCCAGUGCUCCCAGUGCCCAAUCCCAGUGCUCCCAGUGCCCAAUCCCAGUGCUCCCAGUGCUCCCAGUGCCCAAUCCCAGUGCUCCCAGUGCUCCCAUCCCUCCCAGUGCUCCCAGUUACCGACGAUGCGCAGUCUGAUCUCGGCCGUGUCCUCCAUGCCCUCGAUGCGCACGCUGAUCCCAGUGCUCCCAGUGCUCCCAGUGCCCAAUCCCAUCACUCCCAGUGCUCCCAGUGCCCAAUCCCAGUGCUCCCAGUGCUCCCAGUGCCCAAUCCCAUCCCUCCCAGUGCUCCCAGUUACCGACGAUGCGCAGUCUGAUCUCAGCCGUGUCCUCCAUGCCCUCGAUGCGCACGCUGAUCCCAGUGCUCCCAGUGCUCCCAGUGCCCAAUCCCAGUGCUCCCAGUGCCCAAUCCCAGUGCUCCCAGUGCUCCCAGUGCCCAAUCCCAGUCA
Poecile atricapillus (Black-capped chickadee) is the source of this 1097-nucleotide long non-coding RNA. RefSeq lists it as uncharacterized. The record is from RefSeq and is a predicted model, not a curated record. The transcript has 5 exons. NCBI's taxonomy places the organism in Eukaryota, Metazoa, Chordata, Aves, Passeriformes, Paridae.